Molecule: microRNA precursor, 143 nt
Filed under: Gossypium arboreum
Lineage: Eukaryota; Viridiplantae; Streptophyta; Magnoliopsida; Malvales; Malvaceae
Description: MIR7502 microRNA precursor family
Rfam family: MIR7502 microRNA precursor family
Source: Rfam by way of RNAcentral
UGUUAAAAAUUAUAUUUAUUUUUGCAGUUAAAUAUUGACAUGAUUGUCAAAAUAAUCAAAUCGUAACAUAUGGCAUACCAUAUAUACCUCAUGCUGAAGUAGGGACCAAACUUUAACUAUAAAAAUGGAUUAAUUUUUUAAUA